Molecule: long non-coding RNA, 157 nt
Organism: Melanotaenia boesemani (Boeseman's rainbowfish)
Lineage: Eukaryota; Metazoa; Chordata; Actinopteri; Atheriniformes; Melanotaeniidae
Exons: 3
Source: RefSeq, a predicted model, not a curated record
AUGCGGCUACCCGCACCUGUUUAUAAUCCCCUUGAUCAGCCAGAGCGGGCAACACGGAGGUGGAAACACGCCCUGCCACGCCCCCACGGCUGCACAUAGCGUCGGAAACAUCAGCCUCCCUCACUAUGCAGAACCACCUGGCUACAUCAUCCAGACA